This is a long non-coding RNA of Gallus gallus (chicken), 5282 nucleotides long. RefSeq lists it as uncharacterized. NCBI's taxonomy places the organism in Eukaryota, Metazoa, Chordata, Aves, Galliformes, Phasianidae. The transcript is spliced from 5 exons. The record is from RefSeq and is a predicted model, not a curated record.
UUUAAGGGCUGACUCCCAAGGAAGAAGGAUCUCUAUUUGGAUUUUUUUUUAUUUACUCUUGGAGCCCUUCUGCGAGCCCAGGACAUGGUACCAAGUGCCAAACGCACCUGAAGUCUGCAUACACCAUGAUGAGAAGCAGGAAGAUCCCUAUCUGCCUAUGGGAGUUGAAGCCGAGUGCACUCUGCAUUUCUUUGCCAUUACCCUCUACAACAACACUUCAAAGGUCAAGACUGACAGCUCCAUGGAUUUUGAUGUAACGCUGCUUUUUUAUGGACUGUACAGAGGAAUGAUGCACAGCAACUUUGCAGAGUUGGAAAAUAGGAAAUGAUACAGUAAAAAAAAAUCUUAGGCAAGUGGAAGAGUAAUCUUAAGUGCAUAGAAGGACAGGUAUCUCCUGAUAUCCACCUUCAUUUUCAAAUUACAUCUGAAGGAAGAGCUUGAUGGUGGUGUCUCUGUUUACUCCACUUCAGCAGUUACAAUCUUUGACCCAUCCAACAGUAUUUGAGGUGGGAAAGUCUUCAGCUACUCUCAUCUUGUGGACUACCUCCCAGAGAGAACAAAGAUGAGGAACACCCACUUUGCGCUGGUGCUAAGGCUUCUGGAUCAGAGAGAAGAGUAUGGUCUUGAAAUGAAAGACUACGUAGGUAUUAGUGUUUGAUACACUUUAGGUGAGCACUUCAACAACUAUGCUUAAGCAAGUCAAAAAAGUGUUUGAACCCCACUGUGAAGCAUCACUUCACUGAGAAAGAAUAACAAGCACCACAGUGUGAAAGCACAUAUUUAGAUUAAAGUUUGCAGCCAUGAUUUUUAGAAGAUUUUGACAUUUAACUUACCAUGAUUAUGAAACACUAUUGAGAAUCAGUCCUUAAAUCUAUGCAGUAUGGGAGCUAGGAUGAAAAUUCUUGCUGCAUAAGCAGGCACUUAUGUAAAGCUUUGGAAAAGAUAGAGCUAUAUAAAAUAAAUAGUUGUGUAUCUGAAAAACUUUUCAACAGCAAAUUUUUAAACAAAACUGCUUUUUGUAAGACGGCUGAUUAAAAUACUUAGAAAAAUCAUGAUCACAGACACGAAUAGAACAAUUUCAAAGCAAGUAACAGCAAUUAUAGUAGCUCAGAUCUCUGGUAGAUAGAUACAGAUAGAUAAAGGGACAAAAAGGCAAUGGAAAUAAAUCCAGUAGAGGAUGGCUACAGUCUCCAUUUUUAAUGAUCCUAUCUACGAUUUUAGAGCUGCUUUCAAGUUUUCCCAAAACAUCUGCUGUUGCUCUUCAUCAGGAGGCCACUCCAGGUAGGUCUUGGUGUUCAUUAUCUUCCGCAGUUUGCAGAACCUCUUGGGGAUCGCCUGGCUCUGAAUGGGCUCCAGCAGGAUGAGGAUCGCCACAUCGUUGUUCUCGUCAAAAAGGCGAAAGUGCGAGAAAUCCAGCUCAUACUUGCACCACUCGCUCUGCACAAAGUGCUCUGAUAGCACAAAGAGCGUCUUGUGGCUCUUCUCAAUGGAGUCAAUGAUGUUGUCCACAAUCCACUUCCCAGGCACAAAGUCCCGCUUAUGGAGGCACAGCCUAAAGGGGGGACAUGCCUGCUCCAGCUGCUGCACCAUGAUGUUUUCCACCCAGUUGGAGUCGUUCUCACUGUAGGAGACAAAAGCGUCGUAGCAGAUGUCUUUCGUGGGGGCUCGCUUGGGCUUCCGCUUGGCUUGGAGCCAUGCCCAGGUCAUUCUCAUGUACCAGACUGCAUGGUACUUGUACCCAACGACCACCAGGAUGAGGAUGAACAGGAACACCAGGGUGCAGAUCAAGGACACUAGGAGGGACCGGUGGCACUCCAUCAGUGACAGCUGCACACUCCCAACCUGUGCCCCUCGCACUGUCAGCGGAGAGUCACAGAUGUAGCUUUCUGGCCACCCCACAAGCACCUGGGCUAUCCCUGCCUCAUGGUGAAUGAAGGAGAGGAAUUCACAGGAGCAGAUAAAGUUAUUGGCGCUGGCAUCCAGCAGCUCCAUUUGCUUGAAGGACUCAAACUCUUCCUUGGAGAAGCUGUUGAGCUUGUUUCUGCUGAUCGACAUGGCCACUAAGUUAGGAAUGUCUGUGGCUUCAGGCAAGGUCUUCAGAUGGUUUUUUGUCAGGUACAGCUCCUUGAGAAAUGGCAGUUGCAGUCCAAAAUCCUGCAGGUUGUUAGCACUAACGUCCAGCACUUCAAGAGUUGAGGGAAUGCAAGUUGUUAAUUUGGGAAUUUGAGUGCUGGAGAGAUUCAGAUAUUUCAGGUUUUCAGGCCAUUCACACAUGUCUGGAAUCUCACCAAAAUUGUUUUCACUGAUGUCUAAGAGAUUUAGGUUUCUUAGAUGAAACAAGCUUUUACCUGUCAUUUUUAAGUCACUCAAUGAAUUCUGACUUAGAUUUAGAGUUUGUAAUGAAGGCCAUGCACCCUGACAGGCUGAAUGCUCCAAACUCUGAUCUCCAAGUAAAUUUGCGCUAAGGUCAAGAUACUCCAAUGAUAGAAGGUGUUGUGAAAGUUUGCAUGGCACCAGAAACACCUUGGUAUUUUCAACUGUGACUUUCCUAAAAAGAGAUAGGAGAUCUAGUACAGACUGAAGAUCUGUAAACAAAUAAAACUCUUCUAUAGAUAAAUUCUCUAUUGUCAGAAUUCUCAGAGAUUGUGACUGGUUUGCAUGAAUUUGUUUAUACCACUUUCCAGUGCCCAAGAGUGUACAGUCUUUCAUCUCCACCUCCAUUAAUUUUGGCAUGCCUUCUAAAAUGCUGACAAUCUCAGGCACAGUAGCAUCUGUAAAUAAGCACUGUUUUAAAGAAAUUUUCUUUGCGAAAGAGGAAGACAUAAUUCUCAAAAGUUGUAUUUUUUCAGGAACACUGAAUGCUAGUUUUCUUACAUCUAACCAAAUGGCAGAGUGCAGAAGGUCCCUGAUGACUGCUGAGAAUACGUCAAUCCUUCUUAUGCUUAUGAUCAUGUGAUUUAUCUUCCUGAUCGAUUUCAGACUUCCAGGCUCAUACUGACUGAGAUUGUCACCGUCGAUCCUCAGCGUGUUGAGAAACACAAUGCCCUCAAAGUUUCCUUGCCUGAUGAUGGAGAACUGUGGGUUGCCCAGGUGGAGGGAGCUCAAGUUUCUCAGGCUGGAAAAGGGGGAACUUUCCCCCAGGUCGCUGUAGGAAUUGCCUUGAAUGCGAAGGUGUUGGAGCGAAAAAAGGGGCCCAAACCACACUGGGGACAAGUGAGCCAGGCUAUUAUUUGACAAGUCCAAGAGCUCCAGUUUCCCCUGAGAGCCAAACGAGUCCUCGUCUAUGGAGCUGAUUUGGUUGGACUGCAGCAGCAGGGUUCUCAGGUUCACAGCCUUUUGCAGAUCAUGUGUUCGGAUCACCUUUAUCCUGUUAUGGGCCAGGUUUAACACCGUGAUUUUGCCUGUGAGCCCCGGGGGAAUGAAGUCCAAACCCAUGAAAGAGCAGUUGCAUGACUGAGUGGCAUCGCAUGAAAGACAGGCCUGUCUCAGGGCUUGUUCUUCAGGGAGGUGCGCAGCCAAGGCUGUGCAAAUUGCCCACAUUUUCCAAGUAUGCAUAGUUGUUUAUUUUGCCUAAACUUUGAAAUACCUACAAAAUACAAGAUGAUUACUUAGUUUUGAAGUAGCUACACUUUGAUUAUAGCUAAAACUCGGUCCCCCUUGCUGUUCUGUCUUUCUGAAGACACUAUGAAAACAUUUGUUUUUGUUUUUAAUGCAUUUCAGAGAUUAAUUAAUUCAUUUUACCAAGAAAAAAGCAUAUUGUAACUAAAUAUUCCAAAAUAAUUUGCUAGAUGCCAACUACAUUGAAUUAACUUUUUUUUCUCCAUUGUGUUCUCAUUUUGAAUGAGUACUGUCAAAUGAAUUGACAGCUGUACAUAUUUUUCACAGAUUUAGCUAGAGACCUGAAUAACUGCCACAUUAUUACUAAUCCAAUCCUUUGCCUAUUUAGAAAUGGGUAACUUUCACAUUUAAUAUUCAUUCAAGCAUAUGUCUCAUGUCACUUAUGACAGUACAGAGAAGAAAGUUGCAUAUAUUUCAAUUACUUUCUUCUGCCUUUGGCUAUCGCAGGCAUAUACAUGCUAGAAUAUGUCUGUGUAGGCCAUCAUCAUCAUGUUGUGAUCAGUCUAACACUUGACACUGAAACCUAAGCUGGGAAAACUGACCAUUAUAAUUUACUGACUCCUAGCUCUUCCUUUUUAUUGCCAUAUCCUCCCCCUCUGGUAGGGGCCUUUUCUGCUUUGGAUCAGAGGUUCUUGGAGCUUCCUGAAGAUCAGAUCAGUUGGCUGGAAUAGAUCCACUUCUCUUUCCAGCCUCACGGCCAGUUCCUUGUGAUCUGGAUUGAAAUGAUUUGAGCUAACUGACACAGCUGUAGAGCAUACCAAAAUACCCGGCUUGACCUCACUUCCAACAAAGAGACAUUAGCUAGAUCCUUUGAGGAACUAGAAUAAAACAAUUCUUAUAGCCAGGGAGGGCAGUUUUCCCUUAAAAACUCCUAUUAUAUGUUGAGUUAUAAGCCUUUUUUUGGUUACUGCUUUCUUGGCAAGGAUUAAAGAGCACUUUUAAAGUAUGAGAUAACGAUUCCCAGUGUGUCACAAAAUCCUUGCCUGAGAGGUUGGUACUUUACUGAGGGUCAAAAGAGUGAACCAUCUCCAAAGAGACAAAUGAACUGGUUCCCAAAGGUUAGAUUGACUCACAGAGGAGUACUUUCUUCUUCAGUCAUCUCACUGAGCCACUGUGCAGAAGAUCUACUGUACUUGGAAUUCAUACCCUGGUUUGUUUUACAGUAGCUGACCCAAACAGGCAAGUUCAUACAGACAAGUUCUCCUGUUCUAGCUGCAUUAUUUUAGAUAGAGUUGCUUAAAAUCACUUAAAAGGGGCAGAAUUAGCUGAGGUUGUUUGGACAUACAGAGAGAAGAGGAAAGUAUGUGGUUCAUUUUUUAGAUCCUUCCAUCUCUUCCCACCUAAAAAAGAUGACAAGCAUUUUGACUUCUUGCAGUAUUUUUCUUUAAUCUCUGUCUUUUUCUGAUGUAGAGCUUUCAGUCUUGAAGGAUACAAUAAUCUCCCCAGACUUGAAAGCUGUGGUCACUCACCAUGUUCUUCAAGGUCAGUGGAGAGAAAUAACAGCUUUUAGGGGCAAUUCAAAUCCUAUCUUGUAGACACACAUAAUAAGAUAUGAUACCUCCAAGAGAAAUUAUACCAUCACCUUAAAUGAAGAUCCAUUGUAUAGCUGUCUAGCUGUUUAGGCAGGUUAAUCCCAUCCAAAGUUACAAUCUAUAGUCACACUU